Molecule: ribosomal RNA, 492 nt
Filed under: uncultured bacterium
Lineage: Bacteria
Description: partial 16S ribosomal RNA
Rfam family: Bacterial small subunit ribosomal RNA
Source: RNAcentral
AGUGAACGCUGGCGGUAGGCCUAACACAUGCAAGUCGAACGGCAGCACAGUAAGAGCUUGCUCUUACGGGUGGCGAGUGGCGGACGGGUGAGGAAUACAUCGGAAUCUACUUUUUCGUGGGGGAUAACGUAGGGAAACUUACGCUAAUACCGCAUACGACCUACGGGUGAAAGCAGUGGAUCUUCGGACCUUUCGCGAUUGAAUGAGCCGAUGUCGGAUUAGCUAGUUGGCGGGGUAAAGGCCCACCAAGGCGACGAUCCGUAGCUGGUCUGAGAGGAUAAUCAGCCACACUGGAACUGAGACACGGUCCAGACUCCUACGGGAGGCAGCAGUGGGGAAUAUUGGGCAAUGGGCGCAAGCCUGAUCCAGCCAUACCGCGUGGGUGAAGAAGGCCUUCGGGUUGUAAAGCCCUUUUGUUGGGAAAGAAAAGCAGCAGGUUAAUACCCCGCUGUUCUGACGGUACCCAAAGAAUAAGCACCGGCUAACUUCGUG